This 69-nucleotide transfer RNA is filed under the name Urocitellus parryii (Arctic ground squirrel). Its description in RNAcentral is "Spermophilus parryii (Arctic ground squirrel) tRNA". It matches the Rfam family "tRNA". Rfam says of the family: Transfer RNA (tRNA) molecules are approximately 80 nucleotides in length. Lineage: Eukaryota; Metazoa; Chordata; Mammalia; Rodentia; Sciuridae. The record is from Rfam by way of RNAcentral. RNAcentral also lists the same sequence under 2 other names.
GGGAUUGUGGCUUAGCAGUAGAGCCCUUGCCUAGCAUGCAUGAGGCACUGAGUUCAAUCCUCAGUACCA